This 433-nucleotide ribosomal RNA is filed under the name uncultured bacterium. Its description in RNAcentral is "partial 16S ribosomal RNA". It matches the Rfam family "Bacterial small subunit ribosomal RNA", at positions 29 to 507 of the family's 1533-position model. The record is from RNAcentral.
AACGAACGCUGGCGGCAUGCCUAACACAUGCAAGUCGAACGAGACCUUCGGGUCUGGUGGCGCACGGGUGCGUAAAGCGUGGGAACCUGCCCUUAGGCUCGGAAUAACUCCCCGAAAGGGGUGCUAAUACCGGAUAAUGUCCUCGGACCAAAGAUAUAUCGUCUUUGGAUGGGCCCGCGUUGGUUUAGCUAGUUGGUAGGGUAAAAGCCUACCAAGGCGACGAUCCAUAGCUGGUCUGAGAGGAUGCGCAGCCACACUGGGACUGAGACACGGCCCAGACUCCUACGGGAGGCAGCAGUGGGGAAUAUUGGACAACGGGCGAAAGCCUGAACCGGCAAUGCCGCGUGAGUGAUGAAGGCCUUAGGGUUGUAAAGCUCUUUUACCCGGGAUGAUAAUGACAGUACCGGGAGAAUAAGCACCGGCUAACUCCGUG